GCCGUUUGUCGUAAAGAGCAGCUCACUGGGUGAGGCUGGCCAAUGAAGAGCAAGGAGCAGAGGAAGCAGAGCAAGAGGGCAAGGAGCAGAGUGUAGGUGAGGUCCCGGUUGUUGGCUUUGACAAUGGGAGUGUCCCUGUUCUUAGAGAAGACGCCAAGGACCAAGACUGUGACCAGAGCGAAGAGCAGAGCUAAGGCAACUAAUGUGAAUCCCAAAGGCUCUGCGUAAGAAAGGAAAUUGUGGGUCUUGGGAAUGCAUUGAUCUCUGUUGUGGUUUGGAAAUUGUCCUUCUUGGCAUUCAAAACAAUAAUCCGUAUCUAAAAAAAUCAAAUGAAUGAUAUAUGAGUUUGAACAAACAAGGCAACCUUUUUUUUUGUAAUGAAAUGGAUGCUUCCAUUUCCAAUGGCAUUUCAAUUUUCCUUUGAAAGAAAUAUUGCUUCUGCUCCCAAAACACAAUACUGAGCCAUUAAUUAGUUGGAAACAAGUAUCAGAGAUAAGUCAAAACCAGUAAAAUGCAACGGGUAUUCUUUCUUCAUAAACCAUAUAGGUGGUUUCAAUCAAGUCACCAGGAAUUUAGGAAGCAAAGUAUUGACAAUUGUUAAUAUGGGGCCAAGAGCAAAAUAAUGGGGAUGGAGGGUUAGGCAAGUGUUCACUGACUCCACAAGUUGUGGCAGGUGGGGAGCAGGCAGAAAACACUGGACAUGAUUCAUACCUAUUUCCACAGAUCCACUUUGGAGAUGUGGCUUUAGUUUGCCCAACUCUCUGUGUCCGUCUUCUUUCUUCCAGAUCUGAGUGCAACUGCUGUUCUGUUUAGGAGUACUGAACUGCUAAUACGGGGAAACUGUUGAAAUAGACUAGGAAGUAUUUUAUCAUAGAGCAGAUGAUGUCUCCUACCUGUUUGAUUUGAAAUCAUCCCAUCUGGACAUGAAGCACAGUCAUAACAACAAAAUGGCUGCCCCUCCUUCUUUUUCCGGCUGUAGCCUGGCUGGCACCGAUCAUUGCACAAACCAAGGGGCAGCACCUAGCCAGAAAGAGAGGAGAAGAGGAAGCUCCCUUUUGCAUGGUAAAGAACACAGUUUGAACCAAAGAGACAAGCUAACUUGUCAAAUUCAUGUUCUUCCAGAAAGGUGGUGUAUGUGUGAAUAAAUUGUAAUAUAAAUAUUGGGAGUGAAGCAGAAGGGAAAUUGAAUAUUUUCACCUGUACUGAAUAUUUUCACCUGUAUUAGAUGGUGGCUGGAAAGAGGGCAGGGAAAGACAACCAGUUCUCAAAUACAGGGUGUUGGCAGAGAAGGAAAAAUAGGAAGCAUAUACAUUAGGCUCCAAUUGGCUCCAAUACCAUCAAUUGUAUGAGACAUUUAAAGUAGAUAAAAGAAAAGAAUUUGCAAUAGAACCAUCUAGAUUAGAGAAUGAUCUGAUCAAUUCAAAAGCUAAAAUACUUUCCAAAAUGUACAUUGACUGGGAAGUCUAGGAGGAGGAGGUAAAUGAUAAAAUGGUCAUAGGAGUUAGGCUAUAAUAUCUUAAUGUAGGACUGGGAAAACCUCUGGAAAACCAAUAUGAAAUUCACUGCUUGCUACAUACUGAGAGAAAACCUUUUGAAAAUGCAAUAUCGUUGGAUAAAUAGGUAGCACUGCAUCGGGAAGGUAAAUGGUGUUCCGUUGUGCCAGAAACAAUUUAGUCAUGCUGCCUACAAGACCUGCAAAGCUGUUGACUGCACGUGACCGUCCAGAGGUCUUUGACCUUCCCUUUCCUUUCCCUCUUACAUUAAUGUGACCUAGCUAAGCCUAGCAGGAGACCUUACUCUCUUGUAGUAACCCCUUCAUGCAAUAACUAAACUUAAGAAUGUUAUUAACAUCAGACUUUAUUCUUGAAUUUGUAUUCAUAAUGUUAAAAAAAAACUUCUCCCUUAAAAAAAGAACCAAGAGUCCACUCCCACCUGAUUGAAUGCUUUGUGCCAUGUGAUGGCUUCUUCAUCCAUGCUGAAGUCCACAUACUCUUGUGGUUCUUGUGGUUCUACUUUUCCUACUUUCACUCGCAAGAAGGUUUGGUUGGGGAAAGUAACCCAGUUAAUAACGUCAAAUCCAGCUGCCAAUUCCCCAUUCACAUCAAAAGACACAAAGUCCCCAGCACUGUUGUUGAAGGAGAUACUCCUCAGGAAAGAGGGAAGCUAGGCAGAAGAAAACAAGGCAUACGAAAAGUAUCAAUCAAUAUAUGCCACACAAUGGAAAGCAGUAAACAAUGGAGUGGUCCACCUUUGGAGCACAUAUAGAUUUCUGGGAAAGUUCCAGUUUACCUGGAACUUAAGUAUUUAAGCAUUCAGCUCAGAGGAUCCAUGUGCAAAGGCAAAGUCGUGCAAGGUCAGCAACCCCUGCAACUGCCCUCCACAAGGUGGAGAGGGGCUUCCUGGGCUCUGGGAAGGUUGCAGGAGGACCAAGGGAUGCUCCCAGAGCCCUGUCAUAACCUUCCCACUGCCUGGGAAGCAAGGGGGCACUUUCAUUGCUUGUUUCUGAGACGCACUCAGUGGCCUUGUGUCUUCUUCCCCGAGGCUGGUAUGGAGUGCACUGCCUUGCUCACCUGGCUUUGGAAGGGAAGCACCUUCAUGCCUCCUUCCCAGAGCCCAGCAAGCAAGGGGGAGGACUGAACACCAAGGGCCCUCCCUGGACCUGCUGAGAGCCUGGUAAGAAAGGAAGACCUUCGGGGGGGGGGCAAGGGGAAGGGGAUGAGAUGUUGCCAAAGGAAUGUUCUGGAGAGGUUCUUCCUGGAUAAAAACAUACCAUCUUUCUGAUAGUAACACAUCAUGAGUUCCAGUUUAACAUGUCUCCUUCUUCACCACUCCUGACAUAUCAGCAUCACAAACACAUAGGACAGCAGAACAUGCAGCUCCUUCCACAACAUUGUUGAGUUUUACAAGGAGGUGACAUUUCUCUGAGGAAGUGCAGUAAGAGAUACUUCCACCUCUGCAACUUGAAGGGGAAGUACAGGGAAUAUAUUGAUUCUUGCUCCAAAUUGAAGGCAAGGGAAAACAGGGAAGCACUGAAAAGAACAUUUGUUUUGUGUGGGAAAGGUAAAUGCUGUAAGAGACGUUUUUCUUCCAUGUGUAUUCAGUCUAUGGACUGUUUGUUGACACUCAUUAGUUUAGCCCGAAGCAAAGAUUUAUUCCGAAUAUGAAAUCUUACCUGCCAAGGUUGCAGUUUGGGAGGAUCGAGUCUACCUCUGCUUGAUGUCAUUCUGUGUUUCGGUCUGGAUGAGAGAAUCUUGUGCAAAGUAUAUGCAAUGGCAUAAACCGCAUUAUAGGUACUGUAACUUUGACCAGUCAUGAUCAUUUCAAAAGUAUGCCCAGGAAGGCUCUCCAGACUCUCUUUGCCAGUGCAUGUGUCUGUGCUUUCAUUGGGCUUAUUUGAAACUGAAAGUAAGCAGUUGAAUGCCUGUUCCCAAAAAGCCUGGAGGAACCCAUCUCCAUUUGGAGAGUUGGGGUUUAGGGUCUGAAGGAAUUCUUUAAAUCCCUGGACUUUUUCUGUGUGAAUUGCAAAAGACAGGGCACCAUCAAAGACUUGAAUAUCAUAAUACCUUUGCAAUGUAUCUGAUGAGAAUGCCCAUUGGGCUGUCAAAAUCCACACUGUGCUCGCUGAAUUCUCUGCAAUAUCUUCAGCUAAUGAAAAGAAAUAUUUCAACCACUUCACAGCUAUGAUGGUCUGAGAUUCUGCACAUACAACCAAUAUAUUGACUUCUGAGACCACCAGGGAAAAGGACUUAGCCCGAAUGGGAUCCAGUGAAAUAAAAUGAUCCAUCCCUUGUGAUAUGGCUGGUAUUUUUUCCUUGAAGGCUGUGCAGACUCCAUGCUGGGAAAGCAUUGGCCCUAAGAUUUGCAUAAACUUCUCUCCAUUUUCAUCAUCUGAAGCAACAAGCCCGACCCACGUCCAUUGGAAAUGAAGAAGUAGCUUGACAAUCCCUGCAUAUUGAUAUUUCUCAUUGGGCACCGUCCGGAAGAAGGUUUGGAGCUGCAACUCGGUCCUCCUCACUGGAGCUAAUGCACAAUAAGCAAUCUAAGGAAGAAAUCAACCUCACAAUUAUGGGAGGGUUAUAGCAAACGGUUAGGAUUUAACCCAAUCAACUGCCUGAAGUGGAACCCAAGUGAAUUCAUUGAAGGUAAAAAUAUAUUCUUUAGUUUUUGCAUAUCGGAGGAAUUUGGAUGAAUGUAAGAAGAGUUUGGAUUUGAUACCCCUCUAUAUCACUACCCGAAGGAGUCUCAAAGCGGCUAACAUUCUCCUUUCCCUUUCUUCCCCACAACAAACACUCUGUGAGGUGAGUGGGGCUCAGAGACUUCAAAGAAGUGUGACUGGCCCAAGGUCACCCAGCAGCUGCAUGUGGAGGAGUGGAGAUGCGAACCUGGUUCACCAGAUUACGAGUCCACCGCUCUUAACCACUACACCACACUGGCUGUAAGGACAAGUUCCUUGUUUUGGAGGUGUUACAACAUAAAACACUGAAUCCAUUAUGCAUCAAUGACAUCUUGGUCAGUUUUAUCAUUUACAAUGAAUUAUGUAGAAAGUGAAAUAUUUCUUAAGUUAUAUUAGAUCUAUGAGGAUGAAAUGCUCAAAUCUUUUGUUCCCUAAUGCCAACAAUAAUGUCACUUUCCUCCCAGAAUCAUCCUUUUGAUUAACUAAUUCGGGUUCAUAGAUAAUGUCAACUAAUUUCAUUGAAAGCAGCAGACAUUUGAGGAAUAUUCAUUUUAUUCAUUUUAUUCUUCAGUGGUUGAUUAUUUUGCAAACCCCCCCCCCAUAGAUCGAUCAAUCAAUCAAUCAAUCUUUAUUGUCGUCAAAGACUAGACAGCAAAGUUAACAACAGCAACAUAUGCCACAUCCACAUGAAGAAGCUGAUGUAAUAAAAAAAUUCCCUAUAAAUUUAUUUAAAUUAGGUAACAUUCCUUUUGAUUAAAUCUGUAUUCUGGAGGUUAAAAUCCGUACUCAUUCACCAGCCAGCACCGCAGCCUAUCUUGUCCUUGUUGCCAUAAAACAGAGUUUUGCAACAGGCCUGAUGAUAUUCAGAUUGUUUUGCAUCCCCCCUCUUCAUGGGGUAUUUUGCUUAUCUUGACUGCAACUACUUGGAAAGAUGAAGAACCCCACUAAAGGAGCACAAGAUCUUGACAUCUUCCUGCAAGUUCUGCAACCUUGGAAGGAAGGACACCUCAAGGGAACUAUGAAUGGAUUGUCUAUGCAUGGAUUGUCUGUCAAGAAAUUGAUAUGCAUGGAUUGUCUGUCAAGGAACUAUUUUGCACUUGGACAUCAUGUUUUAUUUCAUGAGUGAGGAACCUAUGGCCCCCCAGAACUUCCUGAACUUCAAGUCCAAGUGCUCAUCUUUGACUAUUGAGCUAUACUGGCUGAGGCUAGUGGGCAACAUAUGGACAAGCAACAGCCAUUUCUGAUGAGACAAUUCCGGGAACAGGAGAGAAAUUCGCUUCAAAUUGUUGAACAAAUUUACCUGUUUUAUUUUGUUGGAAGCUGACCAGAGUGGCUGGGGAAACUCAGUCAGAUGGGCAGCAUUUGUGAACCAAAAUGCAGCUUACUGGGAGAAGGGGAAUUCCUAUUGGUGCAUUGGCACUGUACUAACCUUCCUCCCGCUUCCCAAUCCGCCAGACAAGCUUCAGGGACACAUGUGACAGGAGGUCAGGCAGUCAUCCAACCCUUCCCCUACAGCCACAACUGUAUAUGGUCACCAUGAGUAACAGUAAACAAGUAAUGAGUAAACAACUCUUUAUCUUUCCAGGUAGGACGUUUUACCGAGAAAAAAUGAGCAAAUCAGAUGCUGUUCUAUCAGUAAUAUAUUUUUCUAUCUUUCUUCUUUUUCAGAAAAGGGAAUGUCAGGGAAUGACAUCGGAGCUAGAGGCGGAGGGAAAGCUCUCAAAUGAUACUGGAGAAGGGCCCAGCAGGGAGAGAGGCAGCUCAGCAGAUGGGGAAGCAAAUCAGCGCAACACCAGGGAUAAAGGGGGGGCAGAUGGGGGAAUCGGCGAGAGGGCUCCAGGACUCUUCACCAGACACCAGCAGGGAGAGCACGGGUCCUCCGCUACCCACGCCCUCCCUGCGCAGAAGACUUCCAUGCAGAGAGAGUAGGAGGAGACUGGGUGUCAAACAACUUUUAUGUUGGAAAAGGUUUAAGAAACGCCCACUGACGGAUUCUGCUAGCGACUGAGGCAGCCACGAAGUGAAGGGCUGCCCAGACAGAAAGGUUUAACAAGGCAGCAUAGCCAGGAGAGGCGGCAACUUACGCACGAGCAACACAUUCUCAGUACAGGGAACCAAAGUAAAAGAAAGUAUGGAGAACCCAGAAGAGAAUUAUUGUACCAGAGACAGAAAAGCUCCACUGCCCACACACUCACUAUACCUGUGGGAUCUUGUAGAUGCCUAAGAUCGUAGUCAUGUGAAGUGAGAUGUCAGAGUCAAGUGCUCCAAUAACAGCUAUCAUAUUUCUUUUCUUGUCACAUUUGAAGUUGGGGACAAUACUUUCUGUGGUGGACAGAAGUUUCAGGGUGUUCUGAUAAGUCAUCCUUGCAUUUAAAUAGCUAUCAUAGAGGUGGAACCCAAAGCUCAUAUUUGGUACGAUGUUGGGGUUCUCAUUGAUUUCUUUCACAGCAAACACCAGAGAGAGGGUAUUCUGGUAGUACUUUGGUGCUCCACUAAUAAAAGAGUUAUACUAUGUGUCAGAGAUAUUCUCCUCCUCUACUUUUUAAGCAUGUAGCUUACUUUCUGGCUUUUUCAGCCAAAUUCCAAAAAAUUAAAUAAAACAAAUAAGCAAACAACACAUAUGCAUUGUGUCUCCUAACAGUUGAUAAUUGAAACCCAUGGACAGUUAGGCAGGGUUUCUUCCAGGCAGACAAAUGAGGAACAAUAUCAGAAAUAUUAUCGAUAUUAUAGAAUACCUGGAAGUAAGAAAUGAAAAACAGGCAGCGUUGGUGUUUUUAGAUGCUGAGAAAGCGUUUGAUGAUAUCUCAUGGAAAUUCAUGAAAAAAGUUCUAGAGAAAAUGAACUUUGGUGAAAAAUUUAGGAAAGGGAUUCAAGCAAUAUAUUCAGAUCAAAAAGCCAAUUUAAUUGUAUAUCAUAUGCACUGUGUCUCCUAACAGUUGAUAAUUGAAACCCAUGGACAGUAUUCAGUCAGCUUUAGGAAUAGAGCAUCUAACAGGUGUUUAAUUUUGUGCAGAACAUUCACAUCCUGCAAGAUACACAGUACAUAAGUUAAUUUUUUAUCUGGAGGUGUACCACUGGAGCUUCAAAUCAUGGCCCCUCACAGGUAACUAAAGCAAACAGCAAUUGCUUCUUGUAUGAUGCUGCUGGGCAGGAGGACGGUUGUAUUAAUUUCAGUGGGCCUCCUCUGCAUAUAACUCUGUUAGAUAUAACCCUUUAUUUUGCAAAGAAAAAGAAGAAGAUUGCAACACUGCUGUUUUAAUUGCACAGUAUUGUUUACAUUGUAUAGCAAGGAAUAUAAUCCAAAAUCUAUGAUAUCGCAGCAUCUAUGACUGUCAGAUUAAAUGAUGGUGACUGUGAAUGUGGGGAUCAAGCUUUCCUGUAAAGUAAAACCAUCCAUCCAUGGUGGGACAGAAAACACAGAGGGAGGGUGAGGAUCAAGCAUGAGAUCAGGUGAGAAACAUGAGAUCAGGUGAGGAGAAAGCAGAAGAGACAGAAGACAGAAACCUCCAGAUGAGGAAUAAAGCAACAUAGGAGAAGAUGCCAAGAUCACUAUAGAAGAAAAUGUAUUUUUAACCUUUAUACUUGGAAAAGUCAUAUGCAAAUAUUUUCUGAGCAUGCCAUGGUUUGUGUAGUGUAGUUGUAGCAUAGAAAAAUGUACACUAUGAAGGAGAGAGUGAUUUCCUUACUAAAGUUCAUCUGUGAACUUUGUGUUUGGGUGGUCCUGGAAAUCUAUAUCUUCAGAAAAAUAGCCAAAAGUAUUAACAAUUCCUCCAAUGAUUAGGUCCCCUCUCUGAUAAUACUGGUAUGGAAGCUGGAAUGGAUCCGUCAUGGUGCAUGUCUCAGAGUCUUCCUUGCACUCAGUUGGAGGCAUCUGCAGCCACAGGAAGAGAAGAAUCAUCAGCAGAAAUGUUCCUACCAUCUUGACCAACAGUUAUGCAGAAAGACAGAUUUCUCUCUCAUCCACCAUGAAUUGCAUUAGGUUUAAUGGCACUGGAUUAUUUUAAUAAAGGGGAUGUGCCAAAGAUCUGUUCCAUGAAAUCCUUUGUGUUCAGAAUUUCUCACUGGGGCUCUAAAUGACACAGGGUUUAUUUUAUAUACACCUUGUGUUUAUGAUAUAAUGUAUGUGGGAUUUGGCAAUAUGAUGAAACCCACAUUUCGAAAUAAUUACUUGUUCCAAAGUGAUCUCCUUAGAGUAUUGUGCUCUGUAAGGGAAAACAGUAACAGCAAAAUAAUCAUAUGUAUUUGUUAUUGAACGGUGCGCUGGUAAUUGUGAGUGUCGCAUGCAAGCAUGCUUCCCCCAGCUGAGGGCUCUUAGGCUGGAUCUAAAAGCGUCAAAGAAGCAAUUCAAUUAAAUGCGCUGGAAACUCAUACAGGGAAAUCCAGUAGGGAAAGGUGGGUCUCCACAUGUUUUUUGUUUGGCUUUCAGCCUUUUAAUUAUCAUUUUUUCUUUAAUCAGAAGUUGGGUUGCAACUGGCAGAUAUAUAACCUAGGGUUGCCGCAUUUCAAGAAGUAAAAAUCCUGACAUUUGUUGAGCCCCAAAAUUGUUGAGCUUCUUUUCAGUGGUUGCCCACUCACCCCCCCAACCCAAACCACCCACAGCUGUGCCAGAACCCGGGGCCCAAACCUGAACCCAAGUCACGCCUUCCCCGCUGCCCAAAAGAGAACAUGUUUGGGAGGAACGGUGCACAGCCAGACAGCACAAAUACUGGUUUGAACUGAGCAGCAACCAGGAAGAACAGAGCUUGUGAGGUAUUUCCCCACUGUCUGGAUGCUGUCAGCAGCUCCUGGCUGGUUGCCCAGGGAAGUAUAAAGACAAGGAAAAGUUUCUUACAGUCUUUUUUAUUUCAAACUUUACAGAGAGAGGCUAUGGAACCCAUCCUCUUGGAUAAUGGCAUUGUCCCGAGUGAAUCUCCACCCCCCGUCUCUCCCACUUCCUCAUUGGUCAUCAUCAUCACCUCCUCUACAGGUGCUUCUACGUGCCCUCUGUCUUUGAGCUCUUUGCUCCCCUACUUUUAAAGAUCGUCAGGUUGUGGGAGAUGGAGAGUCUGGGAUGCUUUCUAGUGACAACAUGUCAGCCAGCUGCUGCUCUGGCUCUCUCAUUAAUUCCCAACUUUUCCCCUCAUCUGCCUCUGAGCUGUGACCUCCCACAAACCCCUGUUGUAAAGCUAUACUGUUUCCUCUUCCUUUCACCCUGGAACAGUCAGGAUGGGCAGGCGGUCUCCACCGCUUCUCCUCUUUUGCCCAGUCCCCGACACCCACCCAUUUCCUCAUCCUGGAUCCUGGUUUGGUGGCCAUGAAGGCCAGAACCACCGUGAUGGUUUUGGCCAAGACACAAGACACCACAAUAGAGAAGAUGAUGUCAAAGGCCGGUUGUCAUAAAGAGCAGCUCACUGGGUGAGGCUGGCCAAUGAAGAGCAAGGAGCAGAGGAAGCAGAGCAAGAGGGCAAGGAGCAGAGUGUAGGUGAGGUCCCAGUUGUUGGCUUUGACAAUGGCAGUGUCCCCGUUCUUAGAGAAGACACCAAGGACCAAGGCUGUGACCAGAGUGAAAAGCAGAGCUUCAUUGAAACUGCCUGACAACUCAUUAUUAUCAUUAGUUUUUAAUGUUUACUGUUUUACUGUGAUUUUAUAAUAUGUUGGGGCUAAAUAUUCCUGGUAAGGAAAGCCGCAAUAGAUCUGGCAAUGGUCAGAAGUCCCAAGCCCCCUAGACCCAAUAAAUCAUUAUAAGACACCAUUCAUUGCAUUCCACUAUUAUUUCUUCUGCUCAGGUGCGCAUGGCAAAGCUCGGAUGUGGAGGAGCAAUAAAGAGCCAUAUAGCACAAAAAAUGACUGGUAUGAAGGAGCAGCCAAGAAGAAUAGAGUUGGUCAGUCUUUCCCCCACCCAUUUCCUCAUUCUGGAUCCUGGUUUCGUGGCCAUGAAAACCAGAACCACCAUUAUCGUUUUUGCUCGUAUCCAUGAAACCACCACCAAGAGGGUUAUUCCAAAUGCAGUUUGUCCUGUUUAGUAGGUUACUAUGUAAGGCCAGCCAAGGAACAGCAAGGAGCAGAGAAAGCAGAGCAUCAGGGAGGAAGAGCAGAAUGUAGGUGAGGUCCAAAUUCUGGCUUUGACAAUGGGAGCAUUCCAGUGCUUAGGGAAGACUCCAACACCAAAGACAAACUCGGAGAAAAAGGCAGAGCCAAAAAAUAUCAAGUGAUCCCCAUAAGUUCUGAGAAUGAGAGAAUAUUGGGUUCUUGGGAAUGCAUUGAACUCAAUCCUUGUUUGGAAAUUGAUCUGGGC
RNAcentral lists this long non-coding RNA (10448 nucleotides) under Podarcis lilfordi (Lilford's wall lizard). Lineage: Eukaryota; Metazoa; Chordata; Lepidosauria; Squamata; Lacertidae. The record is from RNAcentral.